CGUGGGCGGGGCCAAGGCCGUGGAGACCAACGUUCGAUUUUUCAGUUUCCACUUCGCCCAGGAGUGGGGAGUUCUUAGCUGCUUAUUACGAAACCAAACGUCCCUCGUAUUCUCCUGUGACUUUCCGACUUUUAAUUGUGUCUAACGACCCACGCUUCCCAAAUCAACGCGAGGCACGAGCCUCCGCAUUCUAAGGCAGGAAUUCCGAUCCCUCCACGUCCCUUGGAAAACACGGUGUGUGUUUGCAAGCGCAGCCGUCACUGGCAGAAUUUUGCAACGAUUUCCCAGUUUUGUUGGCACAUCUCCAGGAGGGAAGGUUCUUUGUAAUUCUUUGCUCAGACAGACAUCAGGAUCACACACAAAUCUCUUAGCAGAUAGACCAGGGAAGGCAGUUCUCUUUCAAUUUUAAAAGCUACAACAUAAGCUGUUGCGUGUAGAACGUGAAUAUUCAAAAGGCUUUAACCGAUACUUUAAAGAAAGAUUAAUCUGCGGUGAGAAAAGGAGCCCCGGUACUAAAGAUGAUGGAUAUCUUACGUAGUUGAAUGAGAAUCAGGGCUGGCUUAAGGAUCUAUUCCAGCGCUGCUAAUUAAUUGUGAGUAAGUAAUUGAUUCACUUCCUUUGAAAAAAAAGACUAACGAGACCAUAUGUGGGUUGGUAGUUAUGUAAAACGACAGCAGAAACAUUCUACAAGGCAGAUUCUUGCCCCUUGAUAAGCUGGCUUCUUGAAUUCUUCCUAUUUAUUAGGGACUGCGUUGCUUACCAGUUCCGGUCGGUUUUUUUUUUUUGCCCCCCCCUUCUUUUGAUUUAGGAAAUGAGUAUGAAUGCUUUAUUGAUGUUUUCCCACUUUUUGACACACGAAGGGCCACCUUGAAAAAGAAACUAGUUGGCCUUUCUGUAUGAAGGAAUAGAUGUAUUUUAUAUUUGAGUUCAUUUGCAUUUUGGAGCAGAGAAAUUAUUGGAUGUGAUUGUGGCCGCCAUAGUUCCUCCCUGGGGCUUGCUUAAAAACAGGGGCGUCUGUCCCAGGCCUUUGGAGUGAUCACCUUUCCCUGUCUUUUCUUCUUUCAUCUUUUCUGAGUCAGGAACACAACCGUGGGGAAACGUUUUUAGGGAGUUGGGCGUCAGGGGGGGCUUUGUUCGUUUUUGAGCCCACUUUUAAGCCUAGUUUCACCCAAGUGAAUUUCUAUGCAAAUUCAGUAGAUUUGUGGUACCAAGCCCAAAUCAGACACGAAAUUAUAAUAGAAAGGCAAGCCCAGGGUCUUAAGGGAAAAAAGACAAUUAGCUUUAUGAAGAUACUAAUUUGGGGGAAUGUACUGCUCCUCACACUGAAGCUCUGAAAAGUGUUUUCCUUUUCCCUUCUUGUGAACACCGCUAUCCUGUGAGCUCCCCAAAGCCAGUGGCAAGUUUUUUUUUUUUUUUGUUCCUGAUUGUGGGCGACCCGGGAGUUGGGCAACCAGCUCCUCCCGUCCCCUCCCCUCUCCGGGCGCACCUUGCGAGGGGGGGAGGCAGCGAGGGGGGUUGGCGGUGCGCCUGCGCGCUGCGCUGUGCUCGCAGCCCCCCCCACUCCAGAAUACCUGUCACUGGAACCGCCCGGGCGCGAGCGCGCCACGUU
This 1609-nucleotide long non-coding RNA is filed under the name Cricetulus griseus (Chinese hamster). RNAcentral describes it as "lncRNA (ENSCGRG00015034200.1)". The record is from RNAcentral. Lineage: Eukaryota; Metazoa; Chordata; Mammalia; Rodentia; Cricetidae.